UACAGAGGGUGCGAGCGUUGUUCGGAAUUAUUGGGCGUAAAGCGCUUGUAGGCGGCCUGGAAAGUCCUGUGUGAAAGCCCUUGGCUCAACCAAGGAAGUGCGCAGGAAACUGUCAGGCUUGAGUGCCGGAGAGGGUCGCGGAAUUCCCGGUGUAGAGGUGAAAUUCGUAGAUAUCGGGAGGAACACCAGUGGCGAAGGCGGCGACCUGGACGGACACUGACGCUGAGACGCGAAAGCGUGGGGAGCAAACAGG
Molecule: ribosomal RNA, 253 nt
Filed under: uncultured bacterium
Lineage: Bacteria
Description: partial 16S ribosomal RNA
Rfam family: Bacterial small subunit ribosomal RNA
Source: RNAcentral